Small nuclear RNA from Saimiri boliviensis boliviensis (Bolivian squirrel monkey), 106 nucleotides. The record is from Ensembl. Lineage: Eukaryota; Metazoa; Chordata; Mammalia; Primates; Cebidae.
GUGCUCACUUCGGCAGCACAUAUACUAAAAUUGGAAUGAUGCAGGGAAGAUUAGCAUGGCCCCUGUGCAAGGAUGAACGCACAUUCAUCAGGUGUUCCAUGUUUUU